UAGUGANGAACGGGUGAGUAACACGUGGGCAAUCUGCCCUGCACUCUGGGACAAGCCCUGGAAACGGGGUCUAAUACCGGAUGACACUCUUUCCUGCAUGGGGAAGGGUUGAAAGCUCCGGCGGUGCAGGAUGAGCCCGCGGCCUAUCAGCUUGUUGGUGGGGUGAUGGCCUACCAAGGCGACGACGGGUAGCCGGCCUGAGAGGGCGACCGGCCACACUGGGACUGAGACACGGCCCAGACUCCUACGGGAGGCAGCAGUGGGGAAUAUUGCACAAUGGGCGAAAGCCUGAUGCAGCGACGCCGCGUGAGGGAUGACGGCCUUCGGGUUGUAAACCUCUUUCAGCAGGGAAGAAGCGAGAGUGACGGUACCUGCAGAAGAAGCGCCGGCUAACUACGUGCCAGCAGCCGCGGUAAUACGUAGGGCGCAAGCGUUGUCCGGAAUUAUUGGGCGUAAAGAGCUCGUAGGCGGUUUGUCACGUCGGAUGUGAAAGCCCGGGGCUUAACUCCGGGUCUGCAUUCGAUACGGGCAGACUAGAGUGUGGUAGGGGAGAUCGGAAUUCCU
RNAcentral lists this ribosomal RNA (564 nucleotides) under Streptomyces sp. 319G08. RNAcentral describes it as "bacterial SSU rRNA". It matches the Rfam family "Bacterial small subunit ribosomal RNA", at positions 93 to 671 of the family's 1533-position model. Lineage: Bacteria; Bacillati; Actinomycetota; Actinomycetes; Kitasatosporales; Streptomycetaceae. The record is from RNAcentral.